UUAGUGGAAGCGUCUGGAAAGGCGCGCGAUACAGGGUGACAGCCCCGUACACAAAAAUGCACAUAUUGUGAGCUCGAUGAGUAGGGCGGGACACGUGGUAUCCUGUCUGAAUAUGGGGGGACCAUCCUCCAAGGCUAAAUACUCCUGACUGACCGAUAGUGAACCAGUACCGUGAGGGAAAGGCGAAAAGAACCCCGGCGAGGGGAGUGAAAAAGAACCUGAAACCGUGUACGUACAAGCAGUGGGAGCCUCUUAAUGGGGUGACUGCGUACCUUUUGUAUAAUGGGUCAGCGACUUAUAUUCUGUAGCAAGGUUAACCGAAUAGGGGAGCCGAAGGGAAACCGAGUCUUAACUGGGCGUUAAGUUGCAGGGUAUAGACCCGAAACCCGGUGAUCUAGCCAUGGGCAGGUUGAAGGUUGGGUAACACUAACUGGAGGACCGAACCGACUAAUGUUGAAAAAUUAGCGGAUGACUUGUGGCUGGGGGUGAAAGGCCAAUCAAACCGGGAGAUAGCUGGUUCUCCCCGAAAGCUAUUUAGGUAGCGCCUCGUGAAUUCAUCUCCGGGGGUAGAGCACUGUUUCGGCAAGGGGGUCAUCCCGACUUACCAACCCGAUGCAAACUGCGAAUACCGGAGAAUGUUAUCACGGGAGACACACGGCGGGUGCUAACGUCCGUCGUGAAGAGGGAAACAACCCAGACCGCCAGCUAAGGUCCCAAAGUCAUGGUUAAGUGGGAAACGAUGUGGGAAGGCCCAGACAGCCAGGAUGUUGGCUUAGAAGCAGCCAUCAUUUAAAGAAAGCGUAAUAGCUCACUGGUCGAGUCGGCCUGCGCGGAAGAUGUAACGGGGCUAAACCAUGCACCGAAGCUGCGGCAGCGACACUAUGUGUUGUUGGGUAGGGGAGCG
RNAcentral lists this ribosomal RNA (904 nucleotides) under Escherichia coli. RNAcentral's name for it is "partial 23S ribosomal RNA". It matches the Rfam family "Bacterial large subunit ribosomal RNA", at positions 329 to 1238 of the family's 2925-position model. Lineage: Bacteria; Pseudomonadati; Pseudomonadota; Gammaproteobacteria; Enterobacterales; Enterobacteriaceae. The record is from RNAcentral.